GAUGAACGCUGGCGGCGUGCCUAAUACAUGCAAGUCGAGCGAACGGACGAGAAGCUUGCUUCUCUGAUGUUAGCGGCGGACGGGUGAGUAACACGUGGAUAACCUACCUAUAAGACUGGGAUAACUUCGGGAAACCGGAGCUAAUACCGGAUAAUAUUUUGAACCGCAUGGUUCAAAAGUAAAAGACGGUCUUGCUGUCACUCAUAGAUGGAUCCGCGCUGCAUUAGCUAGUUGGUAAGGUAACGGCUUACCAAGGCAACGAUGCAUAGCCGACCUGAGAGGGUGAUCGGCCACACUGGAACUGAGACACGGUCCAGACUCCUACGGGAGGCAGCAGUAGGGAAUCUUCCGCAAUGGGCGAAAGCCUGACGGAGCAACGCCGCGUGAGUGAUGAAGGUCUUCGGAUCGUAAAACUCUGUUAUUAGGGAAGAACAUAUGUGUAAGUAACUGUGCACAUCUUGACGGUACCUAAUCAGAAAGCCACGGCUAACUACGUG
Molecule: ribosomal RNA, 497 nt
Filed under: uncultured bacterium
Lineage: Bacteria
Description: partial 16S ribosomal RNA
Rfam family: Bacterial small subunit ribosomal RNA
Source: RNAcentral